GGUUAAGCGACUAAGCGUACACGGUGGAUGCCCUGGCAGUCAGAGGCGAUGAAGGACGUGCUAAUCUGCGAAAAGCGCCGGCGAGGUGAUAUGAACCUUUGACCCGGCGAUGUCCGAAUGGGGAAACCCAGUGCAAUCCGUUGCACUAUCGUUAACUGAAUACAUAGGUUAACGAGGCGAACCGGGGGAACUGAAACAUCUAAGUACCCCGAGGAAAAGAAAUCAACCGAGAUUCCCCCAGUAGCGGCGAGCGAACGGGGAGCAGCCCGGAGUCUGAAUCAGCUUGUGUGUUAGUGGAACGGUCUGGAAAGUCCGACGGUACAGGGUGAUAGUCCCGUACACGAAAACACACAUGCUGUGAACUCGAAGAGUAGGGCGGGACACGUGGUAUCCUGUCUGAAUAUGGGGGGACCAUCCUCCAAGGCUAAAUACUCCUGACUGACCGAUAGUGAACCAGUACCGUGAGGGAAAGGCGAAAAGAACCCCGGCGAGGGGAGUGAAAAAGAACCUGAAACCGUGUACGUACAAGCAGUGGGAGCCUCUUUAUGGGGUGACUGCGUACCUUUUGUAUAAUGGGUCAGCGACUUAUAUUCUGUAGCAAGGUUAACCGUAUAGGGGAGCCGAAGGGAAACCGAGUCUUAACUGGGCGUUAAGUUGCAGGGUAUAGACCCGAAACCCGGUGAUCUAGCCAUGGGCAGGUUGAAGGUUGGGUAACACUAACUGGAGGACCGAACCGACUAAUGUUGAAAAAUUAGCGGAUGACCUGUGGCUGGGGGUGAAAGGCCAAUCAAACCGGGAGAUAGCUGGUUCUCCCCGAAAGCUAUUUAGGUAGCGCCUCGUGAACUCAUCUUCGGGGGUAGAGCACUGUUUCGGCUAGGGGGCCAUCCCGGCUUACCAACCCGAUGCAAACUACGAAUACCGAAGAAUGUUAUCACGGGAGACACACGGCGGGUGCUAACGUCCGUCGUGAAGAGGGAAACAACCCAGACCGCCAGCUAAGGUCCCAAAGUCAUGGUUAAGUGGGAAACGAUGUGGGAAGGCACAGACAGCCAGGAUGUUGGCUUAGAAGCAGCCAUCAUUUAAAGAAAGCGUAAUAGCUCACUGGUCGAGUCGGCCUGCGCGGAAGAUGUAACGGGGCUAAACCAUGCACCGAAGCUGCGGCAGCGACGCUUAUGCGUUGUUGGGUAGGGGAGCGUUCUGUAAGCCGUUGAAGGUGUCCUGUGAGGGGUGCUGGAGGUAUCAGAAGUGCGAAUGCUGACAUAAGUAACGAUAAAGCGGGUGAAAAGCCCGCUCGCCGGAAGACCAAGGGUUCCUGUCCAACGUUAAUCGGGGCAGGGUGAGUCGACCCCUAAGGCGAGGCCGAAAGGCGUAGUCGAUGGGAAACAGGUUAAUAUUCCUGUACUUGGUGUUACUGCGAAGGGGGGACGGAGAAGGCUAUGUCAGCCGGGCGACGGUUGUCCCGGUUUAAGCAUGUAGGCGGAGGUUCCAGGUAAAUCCGGUACCUUGUUAACGCUGAGGUGUGAUGACGAGGCACUACGGUGCUGAAGUGAUAAAUGCCCUGCUUCCAGGAAAAGCCUCUAAGCAUCAGGUAACACGAAAUCGUACCCCAAACCGACACAGGUGGUCAGGUAGAGAAUACCAAGGCGCUUGAGAGAACUCGGGUGAAGGAACUAGGCAAAAUGGUGCCGUAACUUCGGGAGAAGGCACGCUGAUAUGUAGGUGAAGUCCCUGCGGACGGAGCUGAAAUCAGUCGAAGAUACCAGCUGGCUGCAACUGUUUAUUAAAAACACAGCACUGUGCAAACACGAAAGUGGACGUAUACGGUGUGACGCCUGCCCGGUGCCGGAAGGUUAAUUGAUGGGGUUAGCGGCAACGCGAAGCUCUUGAUCGAAGCCCCGGUAAACGGCGGCCGUAACUAUAACGGUCCUAAGGUAGCGAAAUUCCUUGUCGGGUAAGUUCCGACCUGCACGAAUGGCGUAAUGAUGGCCAGGCUGUCUCCACCCGAGACUCAGUGAAAUUGAACUCGCUGUGAAGAUGCAGUGUACCCGCGGCAAGACGGAAAGACCCCGUGAACCUUUACUAUAGCUUGACACUGAACACUGGUCCUUGAUGUGUAGGAUAGGUGGGAGGCUUUGAAGCGUGGACGCCAGUCUGCGUGGAGCCAACCUUGAAAUACCACCCUUUAAUGGCUGGUGUUCUAACGUAGACCCGUAAUCCGGGUUGCGGACAGUGUCUGGUGGGUAGUUUGACUGGGGCGGUCUCCUCCCAAAGAGUAACGGAGGAGCACGAAGGUUGGCUAAUCCUGGUCGGACAUCAGGAGGUUAGUGCAAUGGCAUAAGCCAGCUUGACUGCGAGCGUGACGGCGCGAGCAGGUGCGAAAGCAGGUCAUAGUGAUCCGGUGGUUCUGAAUGGAAGGGCCAUCGCUCAACGGAUAAAAGGUACUCCGGGGAUAACAGGCUGAUACCGCCCAAGAGUUCAUAUCGACGGCGGUGUUUGGCACCUCGAUGUCGGCUCAUCACAUCCUGGGGCUGAAGUAGGUCCCAAGGGUAUGGCUGUUCGCCAUUUAAAGUGGUACGCGAGCUGGGUUUAGAACGUCGUGAGACAGUUCGGUCCCUAUCUGCCGUGGGCGCUGGAGAAUUGAGGGGGGCUGCUCCUAGUACGAGAGGACCGGAGUGGACGCAUCACUGGUGUUCGGGUUGUCAUGCCAAUGGCACUGCCCGGUAGCUAAAUGCGGAAGAGAUAAGUGCUGAAAGCAUCUAAGCACGAAACUUGCCCCGAGAUGAGUUCUCCCUGAGACCUUGAGUCUCCUGAAGGAACGUUGAAGACUACGACGUUGAUAGGUCGGGUGUGUAAGCGCAGCGAUGCGUUGAGCUAACCGAUACUAAUGAACCGUGAGGCUUAACCUU
RNAcentral lists this ribosomal RNA (2906 nucleotides) under Enterobacter cloacae complex sp. P29RS. Its description in RNAcentral is "23S ribosomal RNA". It matches the Rfam family "Bacterial large subunit ribosomal RNA". Lineage: Bacteria; Pseudomonadati; Pseudomonadota; Gammaproteobacteria; Enterobacterales; Enterobacteriaceae. The record is from RNAcentral.